CAGACCAAGGGUCUGACUGGAAAAUUUGAAUGUGGGAUUAAUAUUGUGUUCCUUAGAGGGUUAUUCCUAGCCUCGGGUAACAUAAUUAUUCCUGAGAUCCACAACACUACAAAGUCCUCACUUCUCUGUACAUUAAAUCCUUCGUUGCUGAAACAGCUUCUUACCAGGAAUUCUCAUCUCAAACCCAUGUACAAAACUCAUAGAAGUAAGAAGAAAAAAAAUCUCAUCUCUAAAAAAAUAACUGAGUGUUCAUCUUCUCCGUCUUAAAAAUGUCAAUUAUGGACAUUUGUUUUGCAGCAUCUGGCACAAUAUGUUACUUCU
This is a non-coding RNA of Mus caroli (Ryukyu mouse), 321 nucleotides long. The record is from RefSeq and is a predicted model, not a curated record. NCBI's taxonomy places the organism in Eukaryota, Metazoa, Chordata, Mammalia, Rodentia, Muridae.